UAGGGAAUCUUCCGCAAUGGGCGAAAGCCUGACGGAGCAACGCCGCGUGAGUGAUGAAGGUCUUCGGAUCGUAAAACUCUGUUAUUAGGGAAGAACAAAUGUGUAAGUAACUAUGCACGUCUUGACGGUACCUAAUCAGAAAGCCACGGCUAACUACGUGCCAGCAGCCGCGGUAAUACGUAGGUGGCAAGCGUUAUCCGGAAUUAUUGGGCGUAAAGCGCGCGUAGGCGGUUUUUUAAGUCUGAUGUGAAAGCCCACGGCUCAACCGUGGAGGGUCAUUGGAAACUGGAAAACUUGAGGGCAGAAGAGGAAAGUGGAAUUCCAUGUGUAGCGGUGAAAUGCGCAGGGGUAUGGGGGAACACCAGUGGCGAAGGCGACUUUCUGGUCUGUAACUGACGCUGAUGUGCGAAAGCGUGGGGAUCAAACAGG
RNAcentral lists this ribosomal RNA (429 nucleotides) under Actinomycetes bacterium. Its description in RNAcentral is "Actinobacteria bacterium partial 16S ribosomal RNA". It matches the Rfam family "Bacterial small subunit ribosomal RNA", at positions 355 to 776 of the family's 1533-position model. Lineage: Bacteria; Bacillati; Actinomycetota; Actinomycetes. The record is from RNAcentral.